This 413-nucleotide ribosomal RNA is filed under the name Madaglymbus sp. BI-2011. RNAcentral describes it as "partial 16S ribosomal RNA". Lineage: Eukaryota; Metazoa; Arthropoda; Insecta; Coleoptera; Dytiscidae. The record is from RNAcentral.
UGAAUUUUUAAAUGGCCGCAGUAAUUUGACUGUGCAAAGGUAGCAUAAUCAUUAGUUUUUUAAUUGGAAGCUUGUAUGAAAGGUUGGACGAAGUAUAAUCUGUCUUUAUUUGAUUUAAUAUUGAAAUUACUUUUUAAGUUAAAAAGCUUAAAUAUUUAUAAAAGACGAGAAGACCCUAUAAAUCUUUAUAUUAUUUUUUAGUUAUUUUAAUUAAGUUUUUUUUAUCUAUAAUUUUUUAUAGUAUUUUAUUGGGGUAAUAGAGUGAUUUAAAUAAUUCAUUUUGAUUUUUUACAUUAAUAUAUGGUUUUUUUGAUCCAAUAAAUUUUGAUUAUAAGAUUAAGUUACUUUAGGGAUAACAGCGUAAUUUUUUUAAAGAGUUCAUAUUGAUAAAAAAGUUUGCGACCUCGAUGUUG